This 342-nucleotide ribosomal RNA is filed under the name uncultured Pseudomonas sp. RNAcentral describes it as "bacterial SSU rRNA". It matches the Rfam family "Bacterial small subunit ribosomal RNA", at positions 1041 to 1382 of the family's 1533-position model. Lineage: Bacteria; Pseudomonadati; Pseudomonadota; Gammaproteobacteria; Pseudomonadales; Pseudomonadaceae. The record is from RNAcentral.
CUGCAUGGCUGUCGUCAGCUCGUGCGUGAGAUGUUGGGUUAAGUCCGUAACGAGCGCAACCCUUGUCCUUAGUUACCAGCACGUUAUGGUGGGCGACUCUAAGGAGACUGCCGGUGGACAAACCGGAGGAAGGUGGGGAUGACGUCAAGUCAUCAUGGCCCUUACGGCCUGGGCUACACACGUGCUACAAUGGUCGGUACAAAGGGUUGCCAAGCCGCGAGGUGGAGCUAAUCCCAUAAAACCGAUCGUAGUCCGGAUCGCAGUCUGCAACUCGACUGCGUGAAGUCGGAAUCGCUAGUAAUCGUGAAUCAGAAUGUCACGGUGAAUACGUUCCCGGGCCUU